UGAGUAAUGCUUAGGAAUCUGCCUAUUAGUGGGGGACAACAUUCCGAAAGGAAUGCUAAUACCGCAUACGCCCUACGGGGGAAAGCAGGGGAUCUUCGGACCUUGCGCUAAUAGAUGAGCCUAAGUCAGAUUAGCUAGUUGGUGGGGUAAAGGCCUACCAAGGCGACGAUCUGUAGCGGGUCUGAGAGGAUGAUCCGCCACACUGGGACUGAGACACGGCCCAGACUCCUACGGGAGGCAGCAGUGGGGAAUAUUGGACAAUGGGCGCAAGCCUGAUCCAGCCAUGCCGCGUGUGUGAAGAAGGCCUUUUGGUUGUAAAGCACUUUAAGCGAGGAGGAGGCUACUUGGAUUAAUACUCUAAGAUAGUGGACGUUACUCGCAGAAUAAGCACCGGCUAACUCUGUGCCAGCAGCCGCGGUAAUACAGAGGGUGCGAGCGUUAAUCGGAUUUACUGGGCGUAAAGCGUGCGUAGGCGGCUUCUUAAGUCGGAUGUGAAAUCCCUGAG
This 505-nucleotide ribosomal RNA is filed under the name uncultured bacterium. Its description in RNAcentral is "bacterial SSU rRNA". It matches the Rfam family "Bacterial small subunit ribosomal RNA", at positions 107 to 607 of the family's 1533-position model. The record is from RNAcentral.